AACAUUUUGUAAGUAUAUUUUCUGCAGUUAUUUUAGUUACAAAUUACAGUACAUACAUAUUAAUAUAAUUUCAAAUAUAAUAUUUGUUUCUGUAAAGUUAUGCCGCCACUCUGCCUUCUUCAUACUUUUCAUUUAUUGGAUUUUUUUUGUUUGUUCUUCAAGUGAAUUAAAAUUAAGCCUCCAUUUUGGUUCAAAGUACAGAUUUUUUUUUUAUUAUGGUCACAUUGUAAGACAAAAUUAGUUGUGUUUACAUUUUCACAGUUUUAAAACAAAGAUUUUAAUCAAAACUGUCGAGAAAGUCGCAUUUUGUAGUUAGCACCGUUGUCUGGCAACUUUCCGGUUUGUGUCAAAAUAUUAAAAAAAAAAUGAUUCUUAAAUUGGUAACUUUGGUUUCAUUAGUUCUUGUUUUGUUUGAGUGCCAUUUGCAGAGAGGUAGUUUUGUUUCUGUACCAGUUUUUUUGUAUUUUUUUUUGUUGUUUGAGGUGCCUUCCUUUUUUCCUUUAUUGACAUUCCACCAAAGUCAUGUGAGUUUGUGUUGUAUGUGUUUGUGUGUGCCUAUAUGCUAUUUAUAAAAUUUGAUAAAUUGUGGUUCACUGCGAGGUUUGUUGAAAACAUUUCUCGUCGAGGUAGAUUGGCAGCAAGUGUUUUUUUUUUCUUCCUUUUUCGUUUGACUUGUUUUUUACCUUUCAUUUCCAUACACAUCCCUGCACGUCAACUGAGCUGUCUUCGGAGGUAUUUUGUCGAAUAUUUUGAUGAAUAAAUUUUAUAUUUAUUAAACUUUUUACCUUCAUGGUCUGGAGACAAAACGCGUUUGCGUGCUCAGUGAGCAACAAGACGGACGACGACGGGUUCCGAUUUUUUAUAUGAGAAAAUCUCUGCCGAAGAAUUUAAUAAAUUUCCUCUUUUCUACCACCCCCUCUGACUCAAAGUCGUCGUCCGUCCCAAAGGCUCUUCCUAGCUGCAGGCCACGUAAUUCGCUCGCCCAGUUUCCGUCUGCUCGAGACGUCGUUUCCAAUUUCCAUUCUUCAGGUUUGAUCGUUUCCAUUUCUAGUUUUGCUGUUUUUUGGUUUCGGCGCGCGUGUUUUUCCCGCGCCCCCUACUCCAAUACCGCAAACCACCUCUUGUGUGUUUUUUUAUCUACAAUGUUUAGCUUUUUUAUUGGCAACCAUUUUUAUCUGUUUCUGACAUUGCACAUAUUGCUAUUACAUGUUACGCAACAUAAAAAAAAUAAAAAAGAGAACUCUUUGUUUUCCUUUUUCACUUUUUCCUCCUGAUUUUGCUUAUCUUAUUGGCAAGCUCUCCUGCACGGAACAGCUUUUCUGAUAAAUUUAGACUCUGUGGCUGUCGCCAUAAAUAAGCCGCACCCAGAAACAGAAAAAUAAAUAAUAAUCAUAAAACAAAAUUUGCUGUACUUGGAAAAGCUCACUCGCAUUUACAGCACCGGAUUCUCGGACCGGGCAACCCGCACCCUCUAUCUCAACUUUCACUUGUUCUGGGUUCGAUUCGACUGAUGCAACAACACACUUAUUGGGCCAAAUUUUUAAAAAUCCUAUUCAAUUUGGUGGAUAUCCUUUAAAUUAAUCUGACACAAUUUCAAACUUUCAAAGAAGUUUUAAAAAUAAGAAAUUUCAGUAAUCGAAAUUGGUUUAGGUUAAGCAUUAAAAAAAACAUGCCGAAGGAUUUGUUUCCCUCAAUUUCUAGGCGUUCAGUACAUUUGAAUAAAAAUGUAAUUAACAUAAACCAGGGUACGAUCCAUUUCUAAACAGUGGACGCAACGAACACAAACAUAAAUAUUUAAUAAAUAAUAACACAAUGUUUCAACUGAGUGAAUAAAUUAAACUCCAUUAAACUUUCGACUAAAAAUAAGUCAAGUGUCGAAUAAAAUUAAGGAAAUGAAGUGCUGCUUUGCAUUCUAGGCCAUGUUUUUUUGUCGUGGGUGGUGACCAUUUUCUUCCAUGCCAUCAUCCUUUUAAUGCGGAUGUCGACGUGGUUUUCGAUUACCAUUCGAGCCUACAAAUCGAGAUCCCCAUUCUCUUUACAGUUUUACACCUUCCCCCUAUCUGGGUAGAUGAAAGUUGAGAGCAGCCGGUCGGAAAAUAACGGAAAUUUCACCUCUUACUUGCUGGGGUUAGUUAUAUUUUUUGGUUUACUUUGUCUUGUCUUAUGAAUGUAUUUAAAACCUCAUACACCUAAUAUAAUUUUACUUUCUUUUUCUAAAUACUAAUUUUGAUUUUGUGCCUCCGAUAUAGUUUUUCAUCCUUUUCAUUACUCUAAAGAUUUUAUGAUUUUUGUAGAGAGAAAACAAACCAAUAUCGAAAAAAAACAUCACUAGUUUUGUCGACAACAGAGAAUACUUUGUAAUUCUUAAACUGAAUUUGAUGAAAUUGAAACUUUUUUGAUUCCUGAGUGUGGUUUACCACAUUGCAAAAAUAGGCAGAAAUUAAACCUGCUAUGAUAACUUAACGCUACACACCCUUCGGUAACAAGAUUUUGAUUUUCGCUCAUCUUAAAACUACGUUUAUCCUUAAUCUAUUUUAGCUGUCACAGUUUGAAACAUACAUUUAGCCGAAAAUUAAAGAAAAAGAUAAAAAAGCCAACUUCCGACUCUCCGAAGUUAAUCCCGCUGAAACCAGUGAAAAUUGAAACAAAUCACUGUUUUAUGCGUACGGCCGGUGUUAAUGUAAAUUUGCCACGUGGGACAGCAAGGACAUUCUACCACGUUGACUGGCGGAAAGGGAACACAAAUCGAUUGGGUGGUGAUAGAGGGGGAGGGGGGUGGUUAUUUGAGGAGGUAUGCUGAUGAUAAUUAGGAGGAUAUUUUGUGAACUUUUUAUUCAAAUGAGAGAUUUGAUCGUUGGUAGAGAUUGGCAUUGGGUUUGACCUGAUUGGGAUAGUGAUUAGAAAUUAGAGGACAAGCAAGGUAACUGGAGCGAGUUUUCAUCACCUGAGCAAAAAAUAAUAAAAAUGGUUUUAUCAUUUUUAUUAGUCACAACAAAUAUUUUUAUUGUUUUUUUUAUCAUUUUCUAGAAACAUAUCUUUAAUUUUUUUAACUCAAGCAUUUUAACUUGCUAAAUGUUUUUCAUAUUUCUGCCCGCAUAUCGAAAACACAUAUAAACUUGAUAAAAUAUUGAUUAGAAGAUUUCUUCGAUAUUUUUAACCUAUUCGUCUUAGCAUGAUUUUAAGUGCACAGGCGAAAAGCACGAAUAGUUGGAAUAUUAGUAGCAUUUGGUCAAUAGAAACGCUAACGGCAUCUAUCCAGACUUUUAAGCGAAGAUGGGGUUACAAUGGUGCACGUCCGAAAUGUCAAAAUCACGCAGUGGAUCCAACAUUACAAAAAAAAGUGUGCUAUGGCAUGACAGCCAAUUUUUAUUAUCUAAUGUUGGUAUCACUGCGCGAUUUUGACAUUUCGGACAUUCUAGCACUAAUUGAAUAAUUAUAAAACAUUAUUACAUUACCGCAUCAAAACAAAAAAACGAUACUAUUCCUUUAAACGAAAAAAAACACGCGUUUUUGUUCGAUAGCACAAUUAUGCACGUCACUUUUAUGCCAAACAUCUCACAUACUGUCCGGAUUAAACCAACAUCAUUCAGCUCAAUACAAUGUACCAGUCCGAAUUUGGUGCACUGAUAACCCAACCUGUGCUAUCACUGGCACAGUUCAAAAAGCUGCAUAAUGCUCAAGGUAUAUAAAAGGCCCCCUGCAGUUACAACAAUCAGUUCAGUGGUGUUCCUCCAACGCAGAACUACAAGCAGGAUGAAGCUGAUCAUUGCCGCGAUCGCGGUGUCCCUGGCCGUCGUGGUCAGCGGAUCGUACGUCCAGCAGACCAGCAAAAAUGACAAAAUGAUGAAGUUUGCAGCCACCCCAAAGAGUGAUACGCAUCGCAGAAGGAAAACAACUUCACACUAAAUGCGAAGGCCAGCGUCAUUUUCCCUGCCGUUAGCCGCCCAAAAACUGAAGAAACGGGGCAAGUGGUGAAAAGCGGUCAUGCGGGAGCGAUAAGAGCAGAAAAGUUUCUUUUUUCUUUACUUUUUUUUCGUCGAAAAUUUUCCUCUCCGUACGCACUUUCCCCGCACCGCGCUUCCCCCUCCGCCGCAGGUUUCAUUUUCCAGCGGCCGGCAAGGUCCGAGCUGUCCAUCCAUCUAUCUAUUCAUCCAUCGUGUCCGGAACGAACUUUCCAAGACUGCCGGACACACGAACACGAAAAGCGCCUGAGCUAAAUUAGAGCAGCCAGAAAAAAGUGUGUCUGUGUGUGCGCGUGUUUCUCACUUUUACAAAAGAAGGAAGAAAGGAAAAAUAAUAAAAUAAAAUAAAAUGAGAAGA
Molecule: long non-coding RNA, 4320 nt
Organism: Culex pipiens pallens (northern house mosquito)
Lineage: Eukaryota; Metazoa; Arthropoda; Insecta; Diptera; Culicidae
Exons: 2
Source: RefSeq, a predicted model, not a curated record